Molecule: ribosomal RNA, 394 nt
Filed under: uncultured bacterium
Lineage: Bacteria
Description: partial 16S ribosomal RNA
Rfam family: Bacterial small subunit ribosomal RNA
Source: RNAcentral
AUACGUAGGGAGCGAGCGUUGUCCGGAAUUACUGGGCGUAAAGGGCGCGUAGGCGGCGCUUCAAGUCGUCUGUCAAAUGGGAGGGCUUAACCCUUUUUCGCAGACGAAACUGGAGAGCUUGAGAAGCAGAGAGGCAAACAGAAUUCCUGGUGUAGCGGUGAAAUGCGUAGAUAUCAGGAAGAAUACCAGUGGCGAAGGCGGUUUGCUGGCUGCAUACUGACGCUGAAGCGCGAAAGCCAGGGGAGCAAACGAGAUUAGAUACCCCGGUAGUCCUGGCAGUAAACGAUGUAUGCUGGGUGUGAGACUAGCGAUAGUUUCGUGCCGAAGUUAACGCGAUAAGCAUACCGCCUGGGGAGUACGGUCGCAAGAUUGAAACUCAAAGGAAUUGACGGGG